UCGAGAAUCUUCCGCAAUGGACGAAAGUCUGACGGAGCGACGCCGCGUGAUGGAUGAAGUCCCUCUGGGACGUAAACAUCUUUUAUGAGGGAGAAAGUUUAUUGAUAGUACCUCACGAAUAAGGGGUUGCUAAACUCGUGUCAGCAGCAGCGGUAAUACGAGUGCCCCGAGCGUUAUCCGGAAUCAUUGGGCGUAAAGGGUGUGUAGGUGGCAUUGUUAGUCACACGUUAAACCCUGGGGCUUAACCCCAGAUCUGCGUGUGAUACGGCAAAGCUAGAGGAUGGCAGGGAUGUAUGGAACUCAUGGAGUAGGGGUGAAAUCCGUUGAUAUCAUGGGGAACACCGAAAGCGAAGGCAGUACAUUGGGCCACUCCUGACACUGAAACACGAAAGCGUGGGUAGCGAAUGGGAUUAGAUACCCAUGUAGUCCCUGAG
This 434-nucleotide ribosomal RNA is filed under the name uncultured bacterium. RNAcentral's name for it is "bacterial SSU rRNA". It matches the Rfam family "Bacterial small subunit ribosomal RNA", at positions 355 to 801 of the family's 1533-position model. The record is from RNAcentral.